Molecule: long non-coding RNA, 1311 nt
Filed under: Cicer arietinum (chickpea)
Lineage: Eukaryota; Viridiplantae; Streptophyta; Magnoliopsida; Fabales; Fabaceae
Description: long non-coding RNA (CARI_LNC000867)
Source: RNAcentral
AAUAAUAGAGUUUUUUAGAAGUCACAUUAUCACACUAAGAUAUAAAAAUUUCCACUAAUUUUAUCGUAUUUUCAUUAAAUCUAUGUUUCGGAGUAAGUUCAGUUAAUUCCUAUUUAAAUUUUCGUUAUAAAAAAUAAUAAUAAAAUCUAGAUGUAAAUAUAAAUCAUAUCAGUAGGAGUAUUUGAUUUGAAAUUUCAAUAUUUUGCCUUCCUAUAAAAAGAGAACAAUAAAAAAGAGAUCAACGGCGAAAUCAAUCAUAGAGGGUACAACACUCCCCUCUUUUCCCUCCUCCACCUUUAUACACUCUUGCUCUUUUCUCAAUCGCACUACUUCAUCCACGACACUCAACAACCGCACCAGAAACCAAUCACCAUCAUUCUUCCUUGACAAUAUUAAAAUUUAAGAUAUAAUAGAUAUAUUUAUACAAUAAAGAUAAAGAUAUUUUUUAAGAUAAUUUAAAUUUAAAUUUUAGCUGAAAUAAUAUAUAGUUAAAUUUUAUUUAUCAAAUAUUGAAUUACUAAAGUUUAUUCUCCAAAAAAUUAAAAAAAGUUAGUAAAUUUUUUUUAUAUAAAUAAUAGAGUUUUUUAGAAGUCACAUUAUCACACUAAGAUAUAAAAAUUUCCACUAAUUUUAUCGUAUUUUCAUUAAAUCUAUGUUUCGGAGUAAGUUCAGUUAAUUCCUAUUUAAAUUUUCGUUAUAAAAAAUAAUAAUAAAAUCUAGAUGUAAAUAUAAAUCAUAUCAGUAGGAGUAUUUGAUUUGAAAUUUCAAUAUUUUGCCUUCCUAUAAAAAGAGAACAAUAAAAAAGAGAUCAACGGCGAAAUCAAUCAUAGAGGGUACAACACUCCCCUCUUUUCCCUCCUCCACCUUUAUACACUCUUGCUCUUUUCUCAAUCGCACUACUUCAUCCACGACACUCAACAACCGCACCAGAAACCAAUCACCAUCAUGGUAAGUUUCUCUCUUUUCCAACCCCAUUCCUUUCAACCUAGAUCUCCCUAUUUUCUGUUCUUUUUUGUUCUUUCUCGUCCCUCUUCAAAAAAAAGUUUUUUUUAAGGGGAAACCCUAACUGGAUUUAACUUCCCCUAACUGACUAUAGAAUGUCGUGUCUAUAUCCUAAACUAUUUCGGUUAAAAAUUCUGUUAUCAAAAUCGAAUCAGUGUAGGGUUACUGUAACUGUUUUUUGAUGAAUGAAUUCUCAAUUUUUGUAUGAAUGGCUAGUGUUAACUGUUUGUUAUUGUUAUAAUGUAUGUUAAUUUUCACCAUUUCAUUACUUUUAUCUUUAUACGUUUAUAAAAAAAAUUCAUUUCUUUU